UCCUGUUUCUCAAGGUGGCAGGAUCUCAGGGAGAGGAAGGAAAUCAUUCCUUCCCCAUCUCCCAUCUGUGAGAGAAGAAAUCAUCUACAAACCUAUUUCUCCUUUAAUUCUCAGUGAAUGGAUAGGAGCAAGCCCCCACUGGAUAUGCUGAGGGGCCUGCUCUGCAGAAGAAUCAUUUCAGUUUCUCUUUCAUCCUGGCACACGGACAUCAGCGCAUUCAGAAGAGGAAACAGAGAUCCAUAAAGACGAGGGACUUGUCAGUGGCGUCUAAUACAGGACUGGAGCCUCAGUCUACUGCCUUCUAUUCCGUUCAUCUCCUCCCAGUGCCCAGCAGACAUUUAAAAGCUGCUCUUCCACAAACGCUUCAAUUAACAAAAUGGAGCGACAGGGACAACACUGCAGUUGCUACUGUGGCUGACCACAGGCCUGACUGGAUAACUGUGGAGAGAAGCUCCAAUCCCCCUUAGAUGGUAAACAGCUAGACGGCUGCAGAGUGGUGCUGGGUCAGCGGGCAUGCAAACGUUGAUCUCCUGGUACAUCUGCAUCAGAGCCCUGAGGUGACCGGGUACAUUGUCAAUGAGCAGUCAUAUUUUGAAAGGAAUUUUUUUCUGAGCUGUAUGUCCAAUGGUGGGCUUAAAAUUGUCAGUAAACCAUGUUAUAAACAGAUGUGCUGUGAUCCAGGCUUUAUUGUUCCAUUUAUAAAACAUAGGCAGCGUAGAUUUAUCAUGAUUCUUCAGGCUCCUAGGAUUUUUGGAAUGGUAGGUGAACUAAUUCCAAUACUGUUGUGUCUUGGUGAAUAGGAAGGCCUGAGGAGAGGGACAGAGACAGGGGAACGGCCAGUGGGCAGAGCAGCCAGAACUCAUACAUUUGUCAGUUAAGUUCACAUUCUAAGGUGGGCAUGUUUUGUGGUACCCCGAAACAAUGAUAAUAGCAACAUCAAAGAUCACUGAUCACUGAUCACAGUGACAAAUAUAAAAAUAAUGAAGUUUGAACUACUGUGAGAAUUGCCAAAAUAUGACACAGACACAAAGUAAGAAAAUGCCAUUGGAAAAAGUGGUGCCCACCGACUUACUUGAUGCAGGGUUACCACAGACCUUCAACCUGUAAAAAUUGCAAUAGCUGAGAAGUGCGAUAAAGUGAAGCACAAUAAAAUGGGAAAGCCUUUAAUUAGAAAAUGAAAGCAUUCUGAAGAUAUUUGUACCCUGAGCUAGGGAAGCAGGUCAUACCAGUGAGAUGUACUUCAGGGAAGUAGCUGGAGAGAAAAGAACGUAAAAAUUGUAGGAAAAUAACCUUUCCAACAAGAAAAACAUGAGAAUUCUCUGUUCAUAUUAGAGAAGCAGUUUUCUCUGAUAUGUCAGAGUGUCUCCAAUUAGUUCAGAUUAUGACAUAAGUGUCUAAAGAAAAUGAAUCUCAUAGCAUUUUAUUCUUAAUAGCUCAGAGAGCUCUGUUAGGAAGUGAGAAUGCUAUGAAAUGAAGCAAAUCAGAAGAAAGUUGUUGUAAUUCAAAACAGGUUGAAAAUCAUCACCCUGAAGGGAGAAAAUUAAAUGCCUUUUAUCUCCAAAAUAAAAAUAGGCUACACAACCAAUAUAUCUGAGUCAAUAAGGGUUGCUCCCCAUUUACUAUUAAAACAAAGGUUCGGAUUUGCUGGACUUCAAGUUAUAUUUCAGGAGGAGAUGUAUAUAAUUCAGCAAAUUAGAAAACAUAAAUCAAAUGUUGAAGAACAUGGUUUCAUAAAAUUUAUGAUUCAAAGGUAAUUCUUCAAGUUGGGCCUUGUGUUAGUGAUGAGUUUUCCCUUGUGAUUUUUCUUUCAUGGAGAACAAAUCAGCUACAAUCAAAAAUAUUAUAAAAUUCCAAGAACUGAGUAAGAAUCACACAUUCAUCUAAAGCUGAAAUUGGUUCAGGCGUGAAAAACAUAUUUUAACUAUUUGUUGUCCUAAUAGAGUACCAUUGCAGUUUUCCUCCAAGGAGGAUACAGCAUAAUAGUUUCAUCUCAGGUUCUAUAAUUUUGCCAUAAUUAUUUUCGUGUCCUAAUCUCCCAAAGAGGCCUCAAAUCCAUCAUGAUGAAUGGCAUUAUCCUUGAAGGCAUCAAAUGCCUUUGCUUUUUUUUUAAAUAUACCUGUAAAAUUAUAUGCCUCAGAACCCCAUCCAAAACACAAUGACCUAUUUUAUUUGUUCAUUCGUUCAUCUAUUUAUUCAUUUAUUUAAAGAUAUGACUGCUACAGUUACUAUUGCUGUGUAACAAAUGACCCCAAAAUGCACUGGCUUAGAACAAUUAUUUCAUUAUGUACAUGGAUUCUGUUAGCCAAGAAUUUGAACAGAGAACAACUAGUUGACUAAUCUGUACUCCACAAAAUCUGGGGCCUCAGCUGAGAAAACACCAAGUCCCUUGUUUUUGUGAAAUUAUGUUUUUCACAAUUUCACAGCCUUCAAUGUCUAGGGUCUGGAAUCAUCCAAAAGCUUGUCCACACCCAUGUCCGGAGCCCUGGCCAGGAAUGACUCAGAGACUGCCAAACAGAGUACACACAUGACCCUUCAAUGUACCUGGCUCCCUCACAGUAUGGUGGCCUCAGAGUCACCAAACUUCAUCUAUAGUGGCUCAAGACUCUAAACACAAAAACUCUAGCAAACAGCACAGAAACCAAAACAACAGAGAAAACAAAAGUCAUCUUUUGUUACUCAGGAAGUCAGCCAGCAAGUCCACGUCACUUCCACCGCACUCUAUUGUCAACGCGGUUGUGAGUCCACUCAGAUACAAGGGGAAAGAAAAUAGGCCCCACUUCUUGACGGGAGAAGAUGCAAAGGAUUUGGAGGUUUUUUUUUUUCAACCACCACAGGGACAUAGCAAGAAAGUGCACAGAAUUUUUAUUAGGAAUAAAAAAAAAGGAUAUAGAUACAGACAUAUCAAGUUUAAAAAUAAUAAGGAAUAUUGUGAAAAACCUUAUACCAAUCAAUUUCAAAACAAAGAAAAAGCAAAAUUUCAUAAAAGUAUAUGAUAUAUUAAAACUAAAAGAAGAAAUGUAAAACCUGAAUAGAUCAAUAAGCAUUCAAAAAAUUCGAAUCAGUGGUUCAAAAUUUAAGCUACAAUCGUCCCCCCCAACACACAUUCUCCAGAAAAGAUUUACAGCUAGCCAACAAGCUCAAUGAAUUAUAGUGUUCAACAUCACUACUUACAGGGAGACGCAAAACUAAAACCCCAGUAAGAUACCACUUCCUAUCUACUAGGAUGAUUAUCAUCCAAAAAUGGGAAAUAACAAAUAUUGGUGAAGUUAUGAGGAAAUUCGAAUCCUUCUACAUGACUGAUGGAAUGUAAAAUGAUUCAGCCACUGUGAAAAACAGUUGGCAAUUCUUCAAAAAGGUAAAUAUAGAAUUACCGUAUAACUCAACAAUUCCACUCCUAAGUAUGCACCUCAGAGAGCUGAAAACAGAUUCUGUAACAUCCUUCUAUACUGACAGACAGCAACUGUACUAGUGGGGGUGAGGAUUUAAUAAUAUGGGAAACUAUUGAACCACUGUGUUGUAUACUUGAAACUAAAAUAAGACUGUAUAUCAAUAAAAAAAUCAACCUGUCACAUCAAGAAAUCUGUGGGGCUUCAGAAAGCAAUGUUAUAAAGAGAAAAUACCAAGGCCUGGGGAGAAGGAGAAUGGGAAGUGAUUGCUAAUGGGCAUGGGAUUUCUUUUUGGAAUGAUGAAAAUGUUCUAGAAUUAGACAGCCAUGAUGGAUGCCUAACUACGUGAAUAUAUUAAAAAUCACUGAACUGAUAGCAUUGAAAGGGCAAACUUUAUGGUAUAUAAUUGGCUCAAUAAAGCUGUUAUUUACAAAAAAAAAGAGUUGAAAACAGGAACUUGAACAGAUACUUCUAUGUGACUGCUCAUUGCAGCAUAAUCUCGCUAUCCAAAAGGUAGAAAUAAGUGUUCAUCAGCAGAUGGAUGGGUAAGAAAAAUGUGAUAUAUCCAUACAAUGGAAUAUUAUUCAGCCUUAAGAAGAGAUAAAUACAGACACAUGCUACAAUAUGGAUGAACCUUGAAAACAUUAUGCUAACUGAAUUAAGCCAAAUACAAAAGAGCAAAUACUGUGUGAUUCCACCUACAAGAAAUAACUAGAAUAGGCAAGCUCACACAGGCAGAAAGCAGAUUGGUGGCUACCAGGCACUGCACUGUCUUUCCACAAUGUAGCGUUUUGUUUAAUGGCACAGACUUUCUAUUGGGGUAGUGGAAAGUUUUGGAAAUACAUAGUGGUGAUGGUUGCACAGCACUGUGAAUGUAACUAAUGCCACUGAAUUGUACACUUAAAAAUGAUUUAAAUAUAUAUUUGAAAGUUGCUAAGAGAGUAG
Non-coding RNA from Manis javanica (Malayan pangolin), 4331 nucleotides. NCBI's taxonomy places the organism in Eukaryota, Metazoa, Chordata, Mammalia, Pholidota, Manidae. The record is from RefSeq and is a predicted model, not a curated record.